RNAcentral lists this small RNA (137 nucleotides) under Citrobacter freundii. RNAcentral describes it as "RtT sRNA". It matches the Rfam family "RtT RNA". Rfam says of the family: This family represents a bacterial cis-regulatory element known as RtT RNA. The exact function of RtT is unknown although it is thought that it may be involved in changing the cellular response in relation to amino acid starvation. RNAcentral also lists the same sequence under 2 other names. Lineage: Bacteria; Pseudomonadati; Pseudomonadota; Gammaproteobacteria; Enterobacterales; Enterobacteriaceae. The record is from RNAcentral.
AUGUUGCAGAUCUGCGGGGGGAUGAGAAGCCCCGACCGGGGUUCGACUACUGGCGCAGCCAGUUGGACAGACCGCGAACGGAGUGAGUGGGCUGCCCGAAGGGCGAGCAAAGCGAGUCAAUCCCCCCCUCACCGCCA